UGAUAUUGAGGUAGGGACAUAAUCGGAACAUAGGGUGUUUGAAGAUGGCAAAUUUCAUUUGGUGCUCUUCAUUUUUACGGUUUCUCUUUCUCUUUGGUUCACUCAUCAUCUCUUUCGUUCACUUUCACUUGCUCUUUCGGUAUCGCAUCAUCUAUUUUGUUCUUGGGUUUGUCUCGCAUCAUCUAUCCAUCCAAUCUGGUGUUGGGUUUUCUCCUUCUCUCGUUUCUG
Molecule: long non-coding RNA, 228 nt
Filed under: Vigna radiata
Lineage: Eukaryota; Viridiplantae; Streptophyta; Magnoliopsida; Fabales; Fabaceae
Description: long non-coding RNA (VRAD_LNC007212)
Source: RNAcentral